UAUGUACUCCCUCCGUCCGAAAAAGCGUGUUACAAGCUUGUCCCUCAAAUAGAUGUAUCUAGCACUAAUUUGGUGCUCGAUACCUUCAUUUGAGGGUCAAGUUUUUUCGGACGGAGGGAGUAUGAG
This is a non-coding RNA of Triticum aestivum (bread wheat), 126 nucleotides long. The record is from Rfam. NCBI's taxonomy places the organism in Eukaryota, Viridiplantae, Streptophyta, Magnoliopsida, Poales, Poaceae.